UUUGUCUUCCUCAGCAUACUGUGCUCCUUAGCCAAUUUGUCAUGUGCUUUGCUGUGGUCCCCAACUGCUUUGGCUAAUUUACCGUUCUCCUCUAUCAUCUUUUCCUGGUUGUCUAUGAUCUUCUUCAGAGUAUCCACAACGGAAGCGGGAAUCUCAAUAGUAACCGGUGCUCCUGUGCCUGUUCAGUAGUGGUCAAUGUGGACAGAUUGGAUGUCCCAGCUGACAUUUAGUUAUUCAAAU
This 240-nucleotide long non-coding RNA is filed under the name Nicotiana benthamiana. RNAcentral describes it as "long non-coding RNA (NBEN_LNC019687)". Lineage: Eukaryota; Viridiplantae; Streptophyta; Magnoliopsida; Solanales; Solanaceae. The record is from RNAcentral.